GUCCUGGUCCCGCUCUUUUCGCCAGUCUGGAGCAACGUUUGGAGGAGCCCAGCAGCCUGGUCCUUUCCGUAGCUUCCAAGGAUUUUUAGGAUCGCAGGAUUUACAGACCCGCGAAAACCCCUGGAGGACGUUAGCUGUGGAUAAAAGCCUCUGGAAAUGCCUACCGUCUUCCUUACCUCUUGUUUCUUCUUGGGUGACCUGCACGUCGUUUGGGAAGGGAGCCUCUCCGUUCUUGGAGGAUUACGUCUAACCAGCCACUUGCCACCCUCACUGGAAUACAUCUGCUAAGUUUUCCCAGGAUGGAGAAAUUACUACAUGUGGCAGAAGGCUAUUUUUCCCUUCUCCCGGAACUCUCCCAGAGCGCAGCGGUGCUCUCGUCCAGCAGGUCUCGGUUGACUGCAGAAAGGAGAGAGGAAGAGCGUCUGGAAGGGAGCUCAGAUCCCGCCAGGGUUUCCCAGGAAAUGAGAUCUAUCUGGAAAGUAUGAACCGUGAGAACAGCUUACUCACUAUUAGAUAAGUAUUAUGGAUGACUCAUGUCAGAAUACUGAUAGAUGUGCAGCUGACAUGAAUAUACUGUUUUAUAAGAGCUGUAACACUAUGCUGAGAGCCAGGAGUCUUAACUUGCCUCCCCCCCGCCUUGCUUUUCCACUAACUUGCUUUGGUUCUCUGACACCUUUUACUCCUUAGUUUGGCCAUCUAAACAGCUCAUAGAAGAGUUUUUGCCCCCCUCAAGGGGGUACAGGGUAUGGGGCAACUCAUCAACAUUAGUAGAUGGCAUCUUCAAAUGGAAGACAGUGUUGAAAGGCUGCAGUAUUGUAGCUAUUUUACAGGUCAACAUGCAGUUUUUCUGUUYUUAAUAUAUGCAGUUAGUGGCUUUCCUUGUUUCUUUGUGUUUUUGUUUUCUUUCCAGAGUCAUUACUCCCAACUUCCAGCAUGACAACCCAAAAGGUCCAGAAACAGUGUUUGGUACAACGAGGCCUCCUGGAAUGGCAUUAUCACUGURCAAACAGCAGGUGAUGAGACUAAAGAAGCAAAAGACAAGGGGGGAAAAUGCAUGCCUGGGUGAGAUUCACAUGGAGCUGAGCCGUAAAGGUUUUCUAACUAUGGAAGCUCUCCUGAGGAGUUGCAUCAUGCGCUGCUGCCCCUAAAACAGUGUGCAUAUAUUUGGGAGUGAUGAAGAACUGCAAUGUACUGCUGCAUAUUGCUUUAGUGAUGAGAGAGGCUCUCUGGCAUGUCGUACAGCACCAAAACCCAUUCCGGUGUUGACAGCAGAAAUCCUUAUCAUUUUUGUAUUUUUUUCCAAGACAGCUGAUAUCUGCUGUGGAUUCUUUGUAUGYAAAUCAAGGUGGUACAACAACAACAAAAAAAGCCCUGAAAGCAGUCACCAAGAUAAACUUGGACCAAUGGGGACAUUCCUGGUUAUCGUUUUUUAACUUUUGGGGUUUUUUUAGCUCUACGCAAGAUACUUCUUUCCCCGCUCUUUCUUACAGUAGUUAAUGUUUGUCCUGGCAGACCUUUUAUUUAUCAAUUACAGUGUUUCUUGCAUUUUAUAUGGCUGCAUAUCAAUAUACAUGAAUAAAAGACAGAAAGUGCUGGAAAUUGUCA
Long non-coding RNA from Apteryx rowi (Okarito brown kiwi), 1605 nucleotides. Lineage: Eukaryota; Metazoa; Chordata; Aves; Apterygiformes; Apterygidae. The record is from Ensembl.